RNAcentral lists this transfer RNA (93 nucleotides) under Actinomycetota bacterium. Its description in RNAcentral is "tRNA-Ser". The record is from RNAcentral. Lineage: Bacteria; Bacillati; Actinomycetota.
GAUCCAGUGUUCAUAGGGGUUUCUGGCCGAACAUCCCGGUCUCGAAAACCGGUAUGGGGUCUCACUCCAUCGGGGGUUCGAAUCCCCCCCUCU